Long non-coding RNA from Equus asinus (donkey), 1869 nucleotides. The record is from Ensembl. Lineage: Eukaryota; Metazoa; Chordata; Mammalia; Perissodactyla; Equidae.
UGAGUUUAAUAAUCCCUUCUAAUGAAUAGAAUGUGGUAGAAGUGACGUGUGACUUCCGAGGCUAGAUCAUAAAAGGCUUCUUUGUCACUCACUCCGGGAGAAACUAACCACCAUGAUGUGAGGACAGUCUUUAUACACCAUGUGGAGAGGAGCGUGCCGGCCAUGUGUAUCUUGGAAAUGGGUCUUCCAGCUUCAGUCAAGCCUUUAGAUGGCAGCCGCAGCUGACGUCUGUCUGACUGACUGCAACCACAUGGGAGACCCUGAGCCAGAAUCACCAAGCUAAAUUGUACAUGAGUUUCCAGCUUACAGAAACGAAGGAAAACUCAAACUCAGGGGCUCAAGGACAUGUCAAAGGCACAGACAUAUGUUCCUGCAUUGAUCAAAUCAGGCUGUGCAGGUGGUUCGCUGCUCUGUGCAGGACCAGCACAGCACUCGUAUCUAGUGGGUGUCUGAUAAAUACAUGCUGCUCGCCAGAAGGAACAUCAAGAGUAGAAGCCCAUUGCUCUCUGGUGACUUUUGUUUUCUUUCAGAAUGCAUAAACAGGGGGCCUGCUCUCCACGUGUAAACUGAUCUGGUGCAAUUCAGAUAGAAUAUAUUCUAGGACUGGUGCCUUCUUCAACUCAUGCAAAUAAAAGUGCAGCAUGGUCCAAAGUACUGGAGUCAUGAGAAGGUUAUCAUCUUGGAAAGAACACAGUGGUGGCACUAUCUCUGCAAGCAAAGGUCAAGAAAUUUGUCUCUAGAUGUCACAAGAAAAUCAGAAUAAGUGCAUAUUGCUGUAUUCCAAACUGUGACCCCAGGAAGUCAACAGACAGCCCAACUGCUGCCACUGCCCACAGGAGGCAGUUGGUACAGAGAUGACACUGAAGGGGACAAGACUACGAGCUACAUUACCAACAAAGUCUUGACUCACAAAAUGAUAUUUGCUUCUGGUCGCCAAUUGGACUUCUGGCUCUCCUCAACCAGCUUGUUAAUGGGAGUUUUUGUCAAAAAGAGCACUGAGUAGGGGAGUGAAUGAUGUGUGAAGCUAGAAAUUGUAAAGAAAAAGCAAUACAGUUCAGUAGGGAGAGUGCAGAUUUAGACUAGCAUCUGGGUCUGAGAUCCCACUUCUGUGCGACAGCCAGGAGCAAGUUCCUUUCUCUCUCUGAGCCCGUGUGUUCUCAUCUAUAGACUGGGGAUAGUACUACCUUGUGGGGGGUUAUGCAUUUACAAUGCUUAAUACUUGGAAGGCAUGCAAUAAGUGCUAACUAUUAUUACUAUUAUUAAUCUGUUGGAAACGAAAAAUUCAAAGCAUUUCUCUAUUACUUAUUGUGGAAUAGUACUGACGUCUUUUCAUAAUUUAAGUCCAUAUUUCAGAGUAAAAAAGACAUGAUGAUUGAUAUUUACUGGUUUGACUUAUAAAGUAAGAGUGACUUUUUACGUUAACUGACACACAUUUGAUUAGAAGCUUGGUCCUUCAACUUUAAAAAAUAAAGUAAUAAUAUUGAAACCGUAGAAGUAAAUCCUAGCAGCUGCUUGAGGAAUAAUUUCAAAUUGUGCAAGAUCACAAAUGAGAAGGCUAGCUAUCACUUGGAUGACUGUGUGUCAGAUUCUGCUCCUGAGACCUUUAUAUCCGGUAACUCACUCAAAUGAAGUAUGAGCAUAAUUAAUUUAAUAAGCCACUGUUGGGGAACUCUAGUAAACAUAUUUGAUGAGUUGAAAGGCGUGGUCUGAGUUCUGUGUUUGUUCAACCUGGGAGUUUGUUACUAGAUCUGGGGUUGUCAAAUUUAUUCUGUAAAUGAACAGAUGGCAAAUAUUUUGGGCUGAGUGGGUCCUAUAGUCUGUUUAACUACUUAACUUUGCUAUUGAAGUGCAAAAGCUACUUUACAUAAA